This 479-nucleotide ribosomal RNA is filed under the name Blastocystis sp. Its description in RNAcentral is "SSU rRNA". It matches the Rfam family "Eukaryotic small subunit ribosomal RNA", at positions 460 to 953 of the family's 1831-position model. The record is from RNAcentral. Lineage: Eukaryota; Bigyra; Opalinata; Blastocystidae.
GGAGGUAGUGACAAUAAAUCACAAUGCGGGACUUUUAGUUUUGCAAUUGGAUUGAGAACAAUGUAAAAGAGUUAUCGAUAAACAAUUGAAGGGCAAGUCUGGUGCCAGCAGCCGCGGUAAUUCCAGCUCCAAUAGCGUAUAUUAACGUUGUUGCAGUUAAAAAGCUCGUAGUUGAAGUGUGGGGUGAAAAGUUGGUUGUUUCUUUGAAAUGGCUGUCUGCUCACCCCCUCUCCAAUGUGUUAUUAUGGGUAUUAAUUUACUUGUAGUAGCUAUUGGUCAUUUACUGUGAGAAAAUUAGAGUGUUCAAAGCAGGCAUUUGCUUGAAUAUAUUAGCAUGGAAUAAUAGUAAAAGGCUUUUGUGGUCGAUUUAAUUGGUUUGUUCAUAAAAGCAAGAUUAAUAGGGACAGUUGGGGGUAUUCAUAUUCAAUAGUUAGAGGUGAAAUUCUCGGAUUUAUGGAAGAUGAACAAGUGCGAAAGCA